UACGGGGGGAGCAAGCGUUGUUCGGAUUUACUGGGCGUAAAGGGCGCGUAGGCGGUCAGCACAAGUCAGUUGUGAAAUCUCCGGGCUUAACUCGGAAAGGUCAACUGAUACUGUGCGACUAGAGUGCAGAAGGGGCAACUGGAAUUCUCGGUGUAGCGGUGAAAUGCGUAGAUAUCAGGAGGAACACCAAUGGCGAAGGCAGCUCGCUGGGACGUGACUGACGCUGAGACGCGAAAGCGUGGGGAGCAAACAGG
RNAcentral lists this ribosomal RNA (254 nucleotides) under uncultured bacterium. RNAcentral describes it as "partial 16S ribosomal RNA". It matches the Rfam family "Bacterial small subunit ribosomal RNA", at positions 524 to 776 of the family's 1533-position model. The record is from RNAcentral.